UUAAGCGACUAAGCGUACACGGUGGAUGCCCUGGCAGUCAGAGGCGAUGAAGGACGUGCUAAUCUGCGAAAAGCGUCGGUAAGGUGAUAUGAACCGUUAUAACCGGCGAUGUCCGAAUGGGGAAACCCAGUGNNNNNNNNNNNNNNNNNNNNNNNNNNNNNNNNNNNNNNNNNNNNNNNNNNNNNNNNNNNNNNNNNNNNNNNNNNNNNNNNNNNNNNNNNNNNNNNNNNNNNNNNNNNNNNNNNNNNNNNNUGUGAACUCGAAGAGUAGGGCGGGACACGUGGUAUCCUGUCUGAAUAUGGGGGGACCAUCCUCCAAGGCUAAAUACUCCUGACUGACCGAUAGUGAACCAGUACCGUGAGGGAAAGGCGAAAAGAACCCCGGCGAGGGGAGUGAAAAAGAACCUGAAACCGUGUACGUACAAGCAGUGGGAGCACCUUCGGGUGUGACUGCGUACCUUUUGUAUAAUGGGUCAGCGACUUAUAUUCUGUAGCAAGGUUAACCGUAUAGGGGAGCCGCAGGGAAACCGAGUCUUAACUGGGCGUUAAGUUGCAGGGUAUAGACCCGAAACCCGGUGAUCUAGCCAUGGGCAGGUUGAAGGUUGGGUAACACUAACUGGAGGACCGAACCGACUAAUGUUGAAAAAUUAGCGGAUGACUUGUGGCUGGGGGUGAAAGGCCAAUCAAACCGGGAGAUAGCUGGUUCUCCCCGAAAGCUAUUUAGGUAGCGCCUCGUGAACUCAUCUUCGGGGGUAGAGCACUGUUUCGGCUAGGGGGUCAUCCCGACUUACCAACCCGAUGCAAACUACGAAUACCGAAGAAUGUUAUCACGGGAGACACACGGCGGGUGCUAACGUCCGUCGUGAAGAGGGAAACAACCCAGACCGCCAGCUAAGGUCCCAAAGUCAUGGUUAAGUGGGAAACGAUGUGGGAAGGCACAGACAGCCAGGAUGUUGGCUUAGAAGCAGCCAUCAUUUAAAGAAAGCGUAAUAGCUCACUGGUCGAGUCGGCCUGCGCGGAAGAUGUAACGGGGCUAAACCAUGCACCGAAGCUGCGGCAGCGACACUAUGUGUUGUUGGGUAGGGGAGCGUUCUGUAAGCCUGCGAAGGUGUGCUGUGAGGCAUGCUGGAGGUAUCAGAAGUGCGAAUGCUGACAUAAGUAACGAUAAAGCGGGUGAAAAGCCCGCUCGCCGGAAGACCAAGGGUUCCUGUCCAACGUUAAUCGGGGCAGGGUGAGUCGACCCCUAAGGCGAGGCCGAAAGGCGUAGUCGAUGGGAAACAGGUUAAUAUUCCUGUACUUGGUGUUACUGCGAAGGGGGGACGGAGAAGGCUAUGUUAGCCGGGCGACGGUUGUCCCGGUUUAAGCAUGUAGGCUGGUUAUCCAGGCAAAUCCGGAUAAUCAAGGCUGAGGUGUGAUGACGAGGCACUACGGUGCUGAAGUAACAAAUGCCCUGCUUCCAGGAAAAGCCUCUAAGCAUCAGGUAACAUCAAAUCGUACCCCAAACCGACACAGGUGGUCAGGUAGAGAAUACCAAGGCGCUUGAGAGAACUCGGGUGAAGGAACUAGGCAAAAUGGUGCCGUAACUUCGGGAGAAGGCACGCUGGUGUGUAGGUGAAGUCCCUGCGGAUGGAGCUGAGACCAGUCGAAGAUACCAGCUGGCUGCAACUGUUUAUUAAAAACACAGCACUGUGCAAACACGAAAGUGGACGUAUACGGUGUGACGCCUGCCCGGUGCCGGAAGGUUAAUUGAUGGGGUUAUCCGUAAGGAGAAGCUCUUGAUCGAAGCCCCGGUAAACGGCGGCCGUAACUAUAACGGUCCUAAGGUAGCGAAAUUCCUUGUCGGGUAAGUUCCGACCUGCACGAAUGGCGUAAUGAUGGCCAGGCUGUCUCCACCCGAGACUCAGUGAAAUUGAACUCGCUGUGAAGAUGCAGUGUACCCGCGGCAAGACGGAAAGACCCCGUGAACCUUUACUAUAGCUUGACACUGAACAUUGAGCCUUGAUGUGUAGGAUAGGUGGGAGGCUUUGAAGCGUGGACGCCAGUCUGCGUGGAGCCAACCUUGAAAUACCACCCUUUAAUGUUUGAUGUUCUAACGUUGGCCCCUGACCGGGGUUGCGGACAGUGUCUGGUGGGUAGUUUGACUGGGGCGGUCUCCUCCCAAAGCGUAACGGAGGAGCACGAAGGUUAGCUAAUCCUGGUCGGACAUCAGGAGGUUAGUGCAAUGGCAUAAGCUAGCUUGACUGCGAGCGUGACGGCGCGAGCAGGUGCGAAAGCAGGUCAUAGUGAUCCGGUGGUUCUGAAUGGAAGGGCCAUCGCUCAACGGAUAAAAGGUACUCCGGGGAUAACAGGCUGAUACCGCCCAAGAGUUCAUAUCGACGGCGGUGUUUGGCACCUCGAUGUCGGCUCAUCACAUCCUGGGGCUGAAGUAGGUCCCAAGGGUAUGGCUGUUCGCCAUUUAAAGUGGUACGCGAGCUGGGUUUAGAACGUCGUGAGACAGUUCGGUCCCUAUCUGCCGUGGGCGCUGGAGAAUUGAGGGGGGCUGCUCCUAGUACGAGAGGACCGGAGUGGACGCAUCACUGGUGUUCGGGUUGUCAUGCCAAUGGCACUGCCCGGUAGCUAAAUGCGGAAGAGAUAAGUGCUGAAAGCAUCUAAGCACGAAACUUGCCCCGAGAUGAGUUCUCCCUGAGACUUUAAGUCUCCUGAAGGAACGUUNNNNNNNNNNNNGACGUUGAUAGGCCGGGUGUGUAAGCGCAGCGAUGCGUUGAGCUAACCGGUACUAAUGAACCGUGAGGCUUAACCUU
Molecule: ribosomal RNA, 2800 nt
Filed under: Klebsiella pneumoniae
Lineage: Bacteria; Pseudomonadati; Pseudomonadota; Gammaproteobacteria; Enterobacterales; Enterobacteriaceae
Description: 23S ribosomal RNA
Rfam family: Bacterial large subunit ribosomal RNA
Source: RNAcentral